Molecule: non-coding RNA, 207 nt
Organism: Paramuricea clavata
Lineage: Eukaryota; Metazoa; Cnidaria; Anthozoa; Malacalcyonacea; Plexauridae
Source: the annotation of a GenBank genome assembly
GUAGGUAGCCACCUUAAAGCGUAUCAGCCGGGCAGAAACUAUUUUCCUUUAUUUAGAAACUCUUUGCAUAUUCAAACUAGGAUGCAGUUCAAUACUUUGCUAUGCAUAUUCUAAUUCUUUCAAUCUUAGGUACAUGUAAACAUAUAAUAUAAACAUAACACAGCAUAAUAUAGUUUGUAAACCUUGAGUGGGUGCAUUUACGAUUUG